RNAcentral lists this unclassified non-coding RNA (199 nucleotides) under uncultured Cortinarius. RNAcentral's name for it is "sequence contains ITS2". Lineage: Eukaryota; Fungi; Basidiomycota; Agaricomycetes; Agaricales; Cortinariaceae. The record is from RNAcentral.
AUAUUAUAUAUCAAACCCUCUUUUUGAUGGAGUGGUUUGGAAUGUGGAGGGAAUGUGUUUGCUGGCCUCUUGAAGGGGGGUCAGCUCCUCUGAAAUGCAUUAGUGGGACAGCUUGUUUGUUCAUUGGUGUGAUAAACUAUCUACGUCAUUGAGCUAAAGCUUUCCUUGCCCUCUUUUUUGGGGCAGUUUAUUGUCAUUC